This 425-nucleotide ribosomal RNA is filed under the name Erysiphe magnoliae. Its description in RNAcentral is "eukaryotic LSU rRNA". It matches the Rfam family "Eukaryotic large subunit ribosomal RNA", at positions 364 to 806 of the family's 3401-position model. Lineage: Eukaryota; Fungi; Ascomycota; Leotiomycetes; Helotiales; Erysiphaceae. The record is from RNAcentral.
AUGAAAAGCACUUUGGAAAGAGAGUUAAACAGUACGUGAAAUUGUUGAAAGGGAAGCGCUUGCAACCAGACUUGGGCGCUGCUGAUCACCCCGAGUUCUCUCGGGUGCACUCGACAGCGCACAGGCCAGCAUCGGUUCGGGUGGUUGGAUAAAGGCCGUGGAAAUGUAGCUCCUCUCGGGGAGUGUUAUAGUCCACGGUGCCAUGCAGCCCAGCCGGACCGAGGACCGCGCCUUCGGGCUAGGAUGCUGGCGUAAUGGUUGUAAGCGACCCGUCUUGAAACACGGACCAAGGAGUCUAACAUCUAUGCGAGUGUUUGGGCGUUAAACCCAUACGCGGAAUGAAAGUGAACGUAGGUGAGAACCCCUUUGGGGCGCAUCAUCGACCGAUCCUGAUGUCUUCGGAUGGAUUUGAGUAAGAGCAUAGC